RNAcentral lists this ribosomal RNA (117 nucleotides) under bacterium. The record is from RNAcentral. RNAcentral also lists the same sequence under 3 other names.
UUCGGUGGCAAUACCGGAGGGGUCACACCCGUUCCCAUCCCGAACACGGAAGUUAAGCCCUCCAGGGCCGAUGAUACUGCACCCGCGAGGGUGUGGGAAAGUAGGACGCUGCCGGAU